RNAcentral lists this ribosomal RNA (250 nucleotides) under uncultured bacterium. Its description in RNAcentral is "partial 16S ribosomal RNA". It matches the Rfam family "Bacterial small subunit ribosomal RNA", at positions 527 to 779 of the family's 1533-position model. The record is from RNAcentral.
CGGAGGUGCAAGCGUUAAUCGGAAUUACUGGGCGUAAAGCGCACGCAGGCGGUCUGUCAAGUCGGAUGUGAAAUCCCCGGGCUCAACCUGGGAACUGCAUUCGAAACUGGCAGGCUGGAGUCUUGUAGAGGGGUAGAAUUCCAGGUGUAGCGGUGAAAUGCGUAGAGAUCUGGAGGAAUACCGGUGGCGAAGGCGGCCCCCUGGACAAAGACUGACGCUCAGGUGCGAAAGCGUGGGAGCAAACAGGAUU